AGUUGGUCUCUCAGUCUGGAGAAGUGGAAGAGAGAAGCUUGAAUAAGACUUUCUCCUGAGGGUUACCCACCUUUUUCCUGCUUGUGACUGGAAAUCAUCCCCCCCCCCCAACACUUCCCAAUUAAAGAGACUCAGAGAAGAGAAACCUGAGAAAAGACAUUUUUAAUCUUUGUCAGACUUUACUUCAGCUCCUGUUGCCCUGGGUCUGACUGUGGUGAAGGGGCCAAACCCAGGGAAGAGACAUGUUAGAAGUAUUAGAAGGAAUUAGUUGUCUGAAGUUCUCCAUAAACCUACCUUGAGAAUUUUUGAAGGGAUUGAAGUGGCCUCGAGCACCAUUUUCAAUAUGAUAUUUACAUCAUGCACAAAGCAUGCUAAAGUUUUGAAGGCAAGGAGAGUUUCAUUUUUGACUUUCUAUCUUCUGCCCAUAGCGGUGUCUGAUUCAUAGAAAAAAAGAAGAAUAUUCACAAUGAAACAGGACUGGAAAAAAAGAAAAAUAUUCACAAUGAAACAAAACUGUAAUAUAUUAGAGAAGUGUUUGACAUAUAUUGUACUGAUAACAUAUUGUAUAAGGAGCACAUAGAAAAAAAAUCUGUGAGACAAAUAUGUCAUCUUCAAAGAGUCAUCCAUUGAUAAAAUGUCAGCUUGUUGAAAAUAAGGAUUAUUUCUUCUUGGUCCUUUUAUACUAAGCAUCUAGCACUAUGAACUAUACCAAGGAAGAACAUAAUAA
Long non-coding RNA from Monodelphis domestica (gray short-tailed opossum), 727 nucleotides. RefSeq lists it as uncharacterized. The record is from RefSeq and is a predicted model, not a curated record. NCBI's taxonomy places the organism in Eukaryota, Metazoa, Chordata, Mammalia, Didelphimorphia, Didelphidae.